AUUGAACGCUGGCGGCAGGCCUAACACAUGCAAGUCGAACGGUAACAGGAAACAGCUUGCUGUUUCGCUGACGAGUGGCGGACGGGUGAGUAAUGUCUGGGAGACUGCCUGAUGGAGGGGGAUAACUACUGGAAACGGUAGCUAAUACCGCAUAACGUCGCAAGACCAAAGAGGGGGACCUUCGGGCCUCUUGCCAUCGGAUGUGCCCAGAUGGGAUUAGCUAGUAGGUGGGGUAACGGCUCACCUAGGCGACGAUCCCUAGCUGGUCUGAGAGGAUGACCAGCCACACUGGAACUGAGACACGGUCCAGACUCCUACGGGAGGCAGCAGUGGGGAAUAUUGCACAAAGGGCGCAAGCCUGAUGCAGCCAUGCCGCGUGUAUGAAGAAGGCCUUCGGGUUGUAAAGUACUUUCAGCGGGGAGGAAGGGAGUAAAGUUAAUACCUUUGCUCAUUGACGUUACCCGCAGAAGAAGCACCGGCUAACUCCGUG
RNAcentral lists this ribosomal RNA (490 nucleotides) under uncultured bacterium. RNAcentral's name for it is "partial 16S ribosomal RNA". It matches the Rfam family "Bacterial small subunit ribosomal RNA", at positions 30 to 507 of the family's 1533-position model. The record is from RNAcentral.